AAGUCGUAACAAGGUUUCCGUAGGUGAACCUGCGGAAGGAUCAUUAUUGAAUAAACUUGAUGUGGUUGUAGCUGGCUCUCUAGGGAGCAUGUGCACGCCCGUCAUCUUUAUAAUUUCCACCUGUGCACCUUUUGUAGACCCAGAAGGGCUUUCGAGUCCGUUUGGGCCUAUGUUUUAUCAUAUACCCCAUAGUAUGUAUUAGAAUGGUAUCAGUGGGCUUUUAUUGGCCUAUAAAACACUAUACAACUUUCAGCAACGGAUCUCUUGGCUCUC
Molecule: unclassified non-coding RNA, 273 nt
Filed under: air metagenome
Description: partial contains small subunit ribosomal RNA, internal transcribed spacer 1, and 5.8S ribosomal RNA
Rfam family: Eukaryotic small subunit ribosomal RNA (bases 1-46)
Source: RNAcentral